AUGAUCUGGCUUUCGGGGAUGGAGGGAGGGGGGGACCCGGAGGGGCGGGACGAGCUGCCGCUGGUGGAUGCCUCCACGGACGGGGAGGCGAUGGCGCAGGGGAGUUUCGGCGAGGCAGAUUUUGAUGCCAUGAUGGUGGAAUCUGGUGGGUUGCAGGGCGAGGAGGUGGGGAGUAGCCUGGCGCAGGUACAGAAUAUUGCCGCCGACACGGCGGAGAUUUCUGAUCCUGCCGUACCUCAACAUGAUGCUGAAGCCGAAUCGAACGAAGAUGGUCAGCGUGUUAGAUACCGUCUUCCUCCCCUUGAUAAAGAUGGGUUUCGAGUUUCUGAUCUUGUCUGGGCUAAAUUGCAAGGUCGUCCCUGGUGGCCUGGUGCAAUUUUUGAUCCUUCAGAUGCAUCUGAGCUGGCAUUGGAGCAUCAGAAAGAGGGCCACCAUCUGGUAGCAUUUUUUGGCGACGGUUCUUUUGCGUGGUGUCAGGAAUCCCAGUUGAAGCCUUUCAUGGACAACUGUCUGGAGAUGGAGAAACAAGGCAAUUCUGAUGCCUUCACCAGUGCAGUUAAUUCUGCGCUUCAAGAACUCUCAACGCGGAUAUUGACGGCCGCGAGUUGCUCUUGUCUCCCAGAAUAUCUCUCUGAGAAUGGCCUGUGUUAUCUGCGUGGGAAUUCUGGGCUCAAGGCUGGAGUUACGUGCUCUAAGGUUAACCAGGCUGAGAUAUUGCAAUAUUUCAGUCCAGAACACCUUCUUCAUUAUAUGAAGUCGCUGGCUCUGUCCCCUUGCCAAGGAGGUGUUCUGCAGGAUUUAGUGAUUGCUUGCUCUCAACUUAUGUCUUUCUAUCGGUCUAAGGGAUACGGUGAAAUUGCAUCAUUUCAAUCUGGCAGUGCAUGGGCAGAGGAUGUCAUUGACACAACUGCCACCAAUGAAGUGCAGCCUAGUCAUGUGAAGCCCAAAAGAGGUAGGGGAAGACCUCGUAAGCGAAAGCCUGACGAUAACAUAGAGUUGGCAGAGGGAAGGCCCAUUGUGAAGCCUCAGAAUGAACCGAUAGUUCAUAACAACAUUGGUGAAACAGAGUGUGGUGAAGUUGACAUCUAUGUGAAGAAGCCAGCAAAAAGGAGGCGUGUGCAGAGGCGCCAUGGUGUGGACACCAAGGACUUAUUAUCUGGGAUGGCAGCUUCUACUGAAAUGAGCAUGAUUGGAAAAACUGAAGGGGACAGGAGUGAAGAGUGGAAAUUUUUGCCUUGUCCUAAGGAAGAAACAACGGACCAUAUGCAGGACGCCUACUGGUCUGGACUGAGUUUACAUACUGUCUCGACUCAUAGCCUCAAAGGGGCAAGUGGCAAAACAAGGCCGAUUCGUAGGCGGAGACCGACGCGACGGACAUGUGCACCUUCAUCAGACCUUUCUUCCCCUGUACAGAAUAUGCAGCCUGAAACGUUGGAUGUUAACAGAAAGAUAGAAGUGAUAAAAAGAUCAAUUAUCCAUGUUGACGAGAAGAUGGUCCAUGACGUAAACCCCACUGCACUUGUUUUGUGCUUUGGCAAGUCAAUUGCUCUUCCUUCAGAAAUGGAUUUUAUUAGGAUGUUCAGUCGCUAUGGACCACUAAAAGAAACCGAGACUGAAGUGCACAAGAACACAAAUACUGCUAAAGUUGUCUUCAGGAAACGUGUCGAUGCUGAAAGGGCUUUCAGUGUUGCUGGCAACUUUGGCUCUUUUGGACCUUCACUUCGUAGUUUUCGCCUUGCGAAUAUGCCAUUUUCUCUAACGACUGAAUUGAAUUAUCCUAAGUUACGCUCUGAAGAUGGUGGCAUGGAGAUUCCUGCUUGUAGGGUGUCUGGAGUUGCGCUGGAUUCUGCGCAAAUUGGCAUCGUAGACAAAGCUGACAAAGGUGAAACUGUAGGGAAUCCAUCAGUUGAACACACUGAGAUGGUCAAGCUUGCAGGACAAUAUGAAGGCAAUACCGAGCGUGCUUUACAUGCCGGAGGCAGAAAUGAAGAGUCACCUGAUGUUCUCUCAGAUACCAUGCAAACUGGAAUUGUAGAUGACACCCCAAAACACAAACUUGUGUGUGUACAUGGUGUUGUCGAGGCCUCGGAAGAUACCAUGGAAGUUGAUAAUACGGAUGAGACUCGAGAAGAGACCAGCAUGCCUCGGGACCUGAGAGCUCAAGCUUUUACUGGAUAUGUACAAAAACAGUCUGUGGGGGAUGAGUACACGCUCCAGGGAAUCGAGGGGUCAACAGUUGAAAUGCCUGUUGGGGAGGCUAGAAAAUUUAGCUGCUGCUGA
This 2280-nucleotide ribosomal RNA is filed under the name Triticum aestivum (bread wheat). RNAcentral describes it as "partial small subunit ribosomal RNA". The record is from RNAcentral. Lineage: Eukaryota; Viridiplantae; Streptophyta; Magnoliopsida; Poales; Poaceae.